CAGUCGCCGCGGUAAUACGUAGGUGGCAAGCGUUGUCCGGAAUUAUUGGGCGUAAAGGGCUCGCAGGCGGUUUCUUAAGUCUGAUGUGAAAGCCCCCGGCUCAACCGGGGAGGGUCAUUGGAAACUGGGAAACUUGAGUGCGGAAGAGGAGAGUGGAAUUCCACGUGUAGCGGUGAAAUGCGUAGAGAUGUGGAGGAACACCAGUGGCGAAGGCGACUCUCUGGUCUGUAACUGACGCUGAGGAGCGAAAGCGUGGGGAGCGAACAGGAUUAGAUACCCCGGUAGUCCCUGUCUCUUAUAC
This 301-nucleotide ribosomal RNA is filed under the name uncultured bacterium. Its description in RNAcentral is "partial 16S ribosomal RNA". It matches the Rfam family "Bacterial small subunit ribosomal RNA", at positions 509 to 807 of the family's 1533-position model. The record is from RNAcentral.